CACGUAGGGUGCGAGCGUUGUCCGGAAUUAUUGGGCGUAAAGAGCUCGUAGGCGGUGUGCCGCGUCGGCCGUGAAAACCUGCAGCUUAACUGUGGGCUUGCGGUCGAUACGGGCAUCACUGGAGUUCGGCAGGAGAGACUGGAAUUCCUAGUGUAGGAGUGAAAUCCGUAGAUAUUAGGAGGAACACCGAUGGCGUAGGCAGAUAACUGGCUCAUUCCUGACACUAAGGCACGAAAGCGUGGGGAGCAAACAGG
Molecule: ribosomal RNA, 254 nt
Filed under: uncultured bacterium
Lineage: Bacteria
Description: partial 16S ribosomal RNA
Rfam family: Bacterial small subunit ribosomal RNA
Source: RNAcentral